AACAGUGUUUUCCGUCUCGGCCUCCGAAGGCUUUCUCAGACAAUGUGUACAUCUUGUGUGUGUGGGAAGGAUCAGGAAGCACGAGAUCCCAAACCUAGGAGACGGGCAAAUUCCUGCUCCAUUUGAAGAGAACUACAUAGUGAAUCAAAUGUAAUGUGUCAGUGGUUUUGGAUUGUAUUCUUGAUUCAUUUGGAAAUUUGCCCUAGGGAAAUAUUUAUGUGAAUAUUUGACCAUGAAGUGAAGAAUGAGAUUAACGAUCUUUUUUAUUUCCUUUUGUACAAGGCACAUAAAAGGGAAAGGGUGUGUGAAGAAUAACUCAUAAGAGAAUGACAGCUUGUCAGUUCAUGUUCAGUGGUUGACCCU
This 363-nucleotide long non-coding RNA is filed under the name Rattus norvegicus (Norway rat). RNAcentral's name for it is "long non-coding RNA NONRATT008866". The record is from RNAcentral. Lineage: Eukaryota; Metazoa; Chordata; Mammalia; Rodentia; Muridae.